RNAcentral lists this ribosomal RNA (492 nucleotides) under uncultured bacterium. RNAcentral's name for it is "partial 16S ribosomal RNA". It matches the Rfam family "Bacterial small subunit ribosomal RNA", at positions 28 to 507 of the family's 1533-position model. The record is from RNAcentral.
AGCGAACGCUGGCGGCAGGCCUAACACAUGCAAGUCGAACGGCAGCACAGUAAGAGCUUGCUCUUACGGGGGGGGAGUGGCGGACGGGGGAGGAAUACAUCGUAACCUACUCUUUCGUGGGGGAUAACGGAGGGAAACUUACGCUAAUACGGCAUACGCCCUACGGGUGAAAGCAGGGGACCUGCGGACCUUGCGCGACUGAAUGAGCCGAUGUCGGGUUAGCUAGUUGGGGGGGUAAUGGCCCACCAUGGCGGCGAUCCGUAGCGGGUCUGCGGGGAUGGUCGGCCGCCCUAGAGCGGGGCCGCCGCCCCGACUCCUACGAGAGGCAGCAGUGGGGAAUAUUAGACAAUGGUCGCAAGCCUGAUCCAGCCGUGCCGCGUGGGUGGAGAAGGCCUUCGGGUUGUAAUGCCCUUUUGUUGGGAGAGAAGAGCGGCAGGUUCGUACCCCGCUGUUCUGACGGUACCCGGAGAAGAAGCACCGGCUAACUUCGUG